AGCAAUAACAAUAUUUUAUGAAGAAGGCCUAUCAGAAAUGUUUACACUAACAUUUCAACUGGUAGAAGUGCGAAAUAAUAAUUAGCAAAUCCACCACACUCUGGGUGAUAGAAAUGGUACGUGUACCGACACAGAAUAACAUCUCAGCGAAACAUUUACUCUUGGAUGAUCGCCAAUGCUUCCGCUCCGCAAACGCCCCUUUGUGAAUGGAUGUUAUCGCAAUGUCUACUGGGUAAUAGAGUCUUCACGGUGGUGACAAAGGCGUAUUUGCAACGCCCCCAUACAAACUACUAGGUGCCCAGAAAACUACCGGUACCAAGAUGCCCGGCUCCGGACUUUUCCCGAUCAAUGCGUAAAAUGUUCGGACCGCAGCCUUGGAAGUGUGAAGAGCCGGGAAAGAUGAGGAAUAUGACCUGAUGUACCUUGUUUCACAGAUCCCAGUGAAUCCCGUGGAGUGGAGGAGCACACAGACGGGGCCAAGUCAUGGCAGCGGGGUUAGAGAUGGGAGAAGCUGACUUCUUCAUCUUGCUGGAGACCUGAAAGAGUCCCACUUCUUCUGCUCAGGACAGAAUCACAACACCCAUGACUUGCAACAACGAUCCAGAUCGGAUUGGUGUGCUUCAAAUUCUGUAAUGGAAAAUCGUGAUGAUGAUGUUGAGCAGUACCACAGCACUAUGGUGGGAGAGGGGGCAACACAGGGGACAGUACUCCAAAACGCAAGACCAAGUUCUCAACUCUGGGCAAGAUCUUCAAGCCCUGGAAGUGGCGCAAGAAGAAAAGCAGUGACAAGUUCCAAGAGACAUCAGAAGGUUUUAUUCUGACUUUUUUUAUCCACGAAAGGUUUAUCAUCAAAGAAGGUACUUGAGUCAUCUUCUGUACUUGGUAGUUGAGGUCUCCAAACGUUUCGCCUCUCAUCCAAAAGGCUUCGUCAGUGAACAAGGUUACACUCUGGCACG
RNAcentral lists this long non-coding RNA (956 nucleotides) under Neogobius melanostomus (round goby). RNAcentral's name for it is "lncRNA (ENSNMLG00000006139.1)". Lineage: Eukaryota; Metazoa; Chordata; Actinopteri; Gobiiformes; Gobiidae. The record is from RNAcentral.